GACGAACGCUGGCGGCGUGCUUAACACAUGCAAGUCGAACGGAAAGGCCCUGCUUUUGUGGGGUGCUCGAGUGGCGAACGGGUGAGUAACACGUGAGUAACCUGCCCUUGACUUUGGGAUAACUUCAGGAAACUGGGGCUAAUACCGGAUAGGAGCUCCUGCUGCAUGGUGGGGGUUGGAAAGUUUCGGCGGUUGGGGAUGGACUCGCGGCUUAUCAGCUUGUUGGUGGGGUAGUGGCUUACCAAGGCUUUGACGGGUAGCCGGCCUGAGAGGGUGACCGGCCACGUUGGGACUGCGAUACGGCCCAGACUCCUACGGGAGGCAGCAGUGGGGAAUAUUGCACAAUGGGCGGAAGCCUGAUGCAGCAACGCCGCGUGCGUGAUGACGGCCUUCGGGUUGUAAACCGCUUUCGCCUGUGACGAAGCGUGAGUGACGGUAAUGGGUAAAGAAGCACCGGCUAACUACGUG
RNAcentral lists this ribosomal RNA (468 nucleotides) under uncultured bacterium. Its description in RNAcentral is "partial 16S ribosomal RNA". It matches the Rfam family "Bacterial small subunit ribosomal RNA", at positions 28 to 507 of the family's 1533-position model. The record is from RNAcentral.